RNAcentral lists this ribosomal RNA (497 nucleotides) under uncultured bacterium. RNAcentral's name for it is "partial 16S ribosomal RNA". It matches the Rfam family "Bacterial small subunit ribosomal RNA", at positions 28 to 507 of the family's 1533-position model. The record is from RNAcentral.
GAUGAACGCUGGCGGCGUGCCUAAUACAUGCAAGUCGAGCGAACGGACGAGAAGCUUGCUUCUCUGAUGUUAGCGGCGGACGGGUGAGUAACACGUGGAUAACCUACCUAUAAGACUGGGAUAACUUCGGGAAACCGGAGCUAAUACCGGAUGAUAUUUUGAACCGCAUGGUUCAAAAGUGAAAGACGGUCUUGCUGUCACUUAUAGAUGGAUCCGCGCUGCAUUAGCUAGUUGGUAAGGUAACGGCUUACCAAGGCAACGAUGCAUAGCCGACCUGAGAGGGUGAUCGGCCACACUGGAACUGAGACACGGUCCAGACUCCUACGGGAGGCAGCAGUAGGGAAUCUUCCGCAAUGGGCGAAAGUCUGACGGAGCAACGCCGCGUGAGUGAUGAAGGUCUUCGGAUCGUAAAACUCUGUUAUUAGGGAAGAACAUAUGUGUAAGUAACUGUGCACAUCUUGACGGUACCUAAUCAGAAAGCCACGGCUAACUACGUG